AUUGAACGCUGGCGGCAGGCCUAACACAUGCAAGUCGAGCGGUAGCACAGAGAGCUUGCUCUCGGGUGACGAGCGGCGGACGGGUGAGUAAUGUCUGGGAAACUGCCUGAUGGAGGGGGAUAACUACUGGAAACGGUAGCUAAUACCGCAUAAUGUCGCAAGACCAAAGUGGGGGACCUUCGGGCCUCAUGCCAUCAGAUGUGCCCAGAUGGGAUUAGCUAGUAGGUGGGGUAACGGCUCACCUAGGCGACGAUCCCUAGCUGGUCUGAGAGGAUGACCAGCCACACUGGAACUGAGACACGGUCCAGACUCCUACGUGAGGCAGCAGUGGGGAAUAUUGCACAAUGGGCGCAAGCCUGAUGCAGCCAUGCCGCGUGUGUGAAGAAGGCCUUCGGGUUGUAAAGCACUUUCAGCGGGGAGGAAGGCGGUGAGGUUAAUAACCUCAUCGAAUGACGUUUACCCGCAGAAAAAGCACCGGCUAACUCCGUGCCCAGCGCCGCGGUAAUAACGGAGGGUGCAAGCCGUUAAUCGAAAUUCCUGGGCGUAAGCGCACGCAGGCGGUCUGUCAAGUCGGAUGUGAAAUCCCCGGGCUCAACCUGGGAACUGCAUUCGAAACUGGCAGGCUAGAGUCUUGUAGAGGGGGGUAGAAUUCCAGGUGUAGCGGUGAAAUGCGUAGAGAUCUGGAGGAAUACCGGUGGCGAAGGCGGCCCCCUGGACAAAGACUGACGCUCAGGUGCGAAAGCGUGGGGAGCAAACAGGAUUAGAUACCCUGGUAGUCCACGCCGUAAACGAUGUCGAUUUGGAGGUUGUGCCCUUGAGGCGUGGCUUCCGGAGCUAACGCGUUAAAUCGACCGCCUGGGGAGUACGGCCGCAAGGUUAAAACUCAAAUGAAUUGACGGGGGCCCGCACAAGCGGUGGAGCAUGUGGUUUAAUUCGAUGCAACGCGAAGAACCUUACCUGGUCUUGACAUCCACAGAACUUUCCAGAGAUGGAUUGGUGCCUUCGGGAACUGUGAGACAGGUGCUGCAUGGCUGUCGUCAGCUCGUGUUGUGAAAUGUUGGGUUAAGUCCCGCAACGAGCGCAACCCUUAUCCUUUGUUGCCAGCGGUUAGGCCGGGAACUCAAAGGAGACUGCCAGUGAUAAACUGGAGGAAGGUGGGGAUGACGUCAAGUCAUCAUGGCCCUUACGACCAGGGCUACACACGUGCUACAAUGGCAUAUACAAAGAGAAGCGACCUCGCGAGAGCAAGCGGACCUCAUAAAGUAUGUCGUAGUCCGGAUUGGAGUCUGCAACUCGACUCCAUGAAGUCGGAAUCGCUAGUAAUCGUAGAUCAGAAUGCUACGGUGAAUACGUUCCCGGGCCU
RNAcentral lists this ribosomal RNA (1363 nucleotides) under uncultured bacterium. RNAcentral's name for it is "bacterial SSU rRNA". It matches the Rfam family "Bacterial small subunit ribosomal RNA", at positions 28 to 1381 of the family's 1533-position model. The record is from RNAcentral.